UUACGGCCAUAUCAUGUUGAAACAUGUUCUCGUAUGAUCACAGAAGUUAAGCAUUGAGUCUGGUCAGUACCUAAAUGGGUGACUGCUUGGGAAUAUCAGGAGCUGUAAG
Acanthosepion pharaonis is the source of this 109-nucleotide non-coding RNA. The record is from the annotation of a GenBank genome assembly. Lineage: Eukaryota; Metazoa; Mollusca; Cephalopoda; Sepiida; Sepiidae.